CCCUUAGAUGCUCUGGGCCGCACGCGCGCUACACUGGUCGAUGCAACGAGUUUCUUUCCUUGGCCGACAGGCCCGGGCAAUCUUUGAACGCUGAUCGUGAUGGGGAUAGACUUUUGCAAUUUUUGGUCUUCAACGAGGAAUUCCUAGUAAACGCAAGUCAUCAACUUGCAUUGAUUACGUCCCUGCCCUUUGUACACACCGCCCGUCGCACCUACCGAUUGAAUGGUCCGGUGAAGCCUCCGGAUUGGCGUGCACCCUCGGGUGCUGCCGAGAAGUUGGCUAAACCUUACCAUUUAGAGGAAGGUGAANUCGUAACA
This 317-nucleotide ribosomal RNA is filed under the name uncultured eukaryote. Its description in RNAcentral is "partial 18S ribosomal RNA". It matches the Rfam family "Eukaryotic small subunit ribosomal RNA", at positions 1470 to 1796 of the family's 1831-position model. The record is from RNAcentral.